UACAGAGGUCUCGAGCGUUGUUCGGAUUCAUUGGGCGUAAAGGGCGCGUAGGCGGUCAAGUAAGUGAGAUGUGAAAGCCCGGGGCUCAACCCCGGAACUGCCUUUGAAACUAGAUAGCUAGAAUCUUGGAGAGGUCAGUGGAAUUCCGAGUGUAGAGGUGAAAUUCGUAGAUAUUCGGAAGAACACCAGUGGCGAAGGCGACUGACUGGACAAGUAUUGACGCUGAGGUGCGAAAGCGUGGGGAGCAAACAGG
Molecule: ribosomal RNA, 253 nt
Filed under: uncultured bacterium
Lineage: Bacteria
Description: partial 16S ribosomal RNA
Rfam family: Bacterial small subunit ribosomal RNA
Source: RNAcentral